GCGUAUAUCCUGAGAAAAGAGCUCCCGGAGGAUGAGGAAGAGGCUCGACAGAUCGUCCGUCGAUCUAAGGCCUUUACCGUAAUCAAAGGACAAUUGUACAGAGAAAGCGCGACUGGAGUUGGUCAGAAGUGCAUAACACCAGAAGAAGGUCGACUCAUCCUCAAUGAUAUCCACUCGGGGACCUGUGGUCAUCAUGCGUCCUCUCGAACCAUCGUGGCCAAAGCAUACCGAGCCGGAUUUUACUGGCCAAAGGCGAAUGAGAUGGCAAAAGAGAUAGUGGAUAAGUGCGAGGGAUGUCAGUUCUACUCGAAUAUGUCGCACAAGCCUGCGUCAGCUCUGAAGACUAUCCCACUCGUUUGGCCUUUCGCAGUAUGGGGACUGGACAUGGUCGGUCCUUUGAGAACAGGACGAAGUGGCUUCACGCACGUACUGGUGGCAGUCGACAAGUUCACCAAGUGGAUCGAGGCUAAACCAAUCAAGAACCUUGACACCGGUACUGCUGUUAGUUUCAUCAGGGAACUAAUAUUCAGAUAUGGAGUCCCGCAC
Molecule: ribosomal RNA, 546 nt
Filed under: Triticum aestivum (bread wheat)
Lineage: Eukaryota; Viridiplantae; Streptophyta; Magnoliopsida; Poales; Poaceae
Description: partial small subunit ribosomal RNA
Source: RNAcentral